GAGUAACGCGUGAGGAACCUGCCUCAAAGAGGGGGACAACAGUUGGAAACGACUGCUAAUACCGCAUAAGCCCACAGGUCGGCAUCGACCAGAGGGAAAAGGAGCAAUCCGCUUUGAGAUGGCCUCGCGUCCGAUUAGCUAGUUGGUGAGGUAAUGGCCCACCAAGGCGACGAUCGGUAGCCGGACUGAGAGGUUGAACGGCCACAUUGGGACUGAGACACGGCCCAGACUCCUACGGGAGGCAGCAGUGGGGAAUAUUGCACAAUGGGGGAAACCCUGAUGCAGCGACGCCGCGUGGAGGAAGAAGGUCUUCGGAUUGUAAACUCCUGUUGUUGAGGAAGAUAAUGACGGUACUCAACAAGGAAGUGACGGCUAACUACGUGCCAGCAGCCGCGGUAAAACGUAGGUCACAAGCGUUGUCCGGAAUUACUGGGUGUAAAGGGAGCGCAGGCGGGAAGACAAGUUGGAAGUGAAAUCUAUGGGCUCAACCCAUAAACUGCUUUCAAAACUGUUUUUCUUGAGUAGUGCAGAGGUAGGCGGAAUUCCCGGUGUAGCGGUGGAAUGCGUAGAUAUCGGGAGGAACACCAGUGGCGAAGGCGGCCUACUGGGCACCAACUGACGCUGAGGCUCGAAAGUGUGGGUAGCAAACAGGAUUAGGUACCCUGGUAGUCCACACCGUAAACGAUGAUUACUAGGUGUUGGAGGAUUGACUCCUUCAGUGCCGCAG
Molecule: ribosomal RNA, 727 nt
Filed under: uncultured bacterium
Lineage: Bacteria
Description: bacterial SSU rRNA
Rfam family: Bacterial small subunit ribosomal RNA
Source: RNAcentral